ACAUAAUCACACGCAUCAAACACUUUAAAAUUUUUUUAAAUAUUAUAGAAAUUAUAGACCCAUAGGUAAUUACUGUUCUCUUUUACAUUUAAAGUACGAACAGUAAUUACAAAAUAAAUCUUUGUCAAAUAAAUGAAAAACUAUUUAAUUUCUUUAAUUAAACUAUUCAUAUCUAGAUAUACUGUAUAUAUUCUAUCUAAAGGUACCUUUUGAUAGAUGAAGGUUGACAUAGUCGGUAAUUAAAUCCCCUCAAGGCUUUAAAAAUGUUAGCAAAAUUACUAAACAUUCUGAAAGUUUUAAUAUUUGAUUGUCUACCACUCUAUAAAAUAUUUUUCAAAAAAACAUAGUUAUUAACAGCCUUUAAUAAGAUGUUUUGCACUUAUUUUUAUUAGAGAUAUCGUCGUGAUGACAAAGAGAAGGGAAAAAGUGACUCCAGUGAUGAUGAUAAUUAUGAGCCAUAUAUUCCCCUGAAAGAAAGAAAAAAGGAAAAGCUUGUGAAGUUGCGUCGUUUAGGAACUAUAUUGCAA
Non-coding RNA from Parasteatoda tepidariorum (common house spider), 527 nucleotides. The record is from RefSeq and is a predicted model, not a curated record. NCBI's taxonomy places the organism in Eukaryota, Metazoa, Arthropoda, Arachnida, Araneae, Theridiidae.